UACGGAGGAUGCAAGCGUUAUCCGGAUUUAUUGGGUUUAAAGGGUGCGCAGGCGGACUGUUAAGUCAGCGGUGAAAUGUCCCGGCUCAACCGGGGCCCUGCCGUUGAUACUGGCAGACUAGAGUACGGACGGCGCCGGCGGAAUGUGUCAUGUAGCGGUGAAAUGCUUAGAUAUGCCACAGAACACCGAUCGCGAAGGCAGCUGGCGAGGCCGGUACUGACGCUCAGGCACGAAAGCGUGGGGAUCAAACAGG
RNAcentral lists this ribosomal RNA (253 nucleotides) under uncultured bacterium. RNAcentral describes it as "partial 16S ribosomal RNA". It matches the Rfam family "Bacterial small subunit ribosomal RNA", at positions 524 to 776 of the family's 1533-position model. The record is from RNAcentral.